GUGAGUAACCUGCCCCUGACUCUGGGAUAAGCGUUGGAAACGACGUCUAAUACUGGAUACGACUGCCGGCCGCAUGGUCUGGUGGUGGAAAGAUUUUUUGGUUGGGGAUGGACUCGCGGCCUAUCAGCUUGUUGGUGAGGUAAUGGCUCACCAAGGCGACGACGGGUAGCCGGCCUGAGAGGGUGACCGGCCACACUGGGACUGAGACACGGCCCAGACUCCUACGGGAGGCAGCAGUGGGGAAUAUUGCACAAUGGGCGAAAGCCUGAUGCAGCAACGCCGCGUGAGGGAUGACGGCCUUCGGGUUGUAAACCUCUUUUAGUAGGGAAGAAGCGAAAGUGACGGUACCUGCAGAAAAAGCACCGGCUAACUACGUGCCAGCAGCCGCGGUAAUACGUAGGGUGCAAGCGUUGUC
This 415-nucleotide ribosomal RNA is filed under the name Curtobacterium sp. F23(2014). RNAcentral describes it as "bacterial SSU rRNA". It matches the Rfam family "Bacterial small subunit ribosomal RNA", at positions 117 to 545 of the family's 1533-position model. Lineage: Bacteria; Bacillati; Actinomycetota; Actinomycetes; Micrococcales; Microbacteriaceae. The record is from RNAcentral.